Molecule: ribosomal RNA, 253 nt
Filed under: uncultured bacterium
Lineage: Bacteria
Description: partial 16S ribosomal RNA
Rfam family: Bacterial small subunit ribosomal RNA
Source: RNAcentral
UACGUAGGGUGCGAGCGUUGUCCGGAAUUACUGGGCGUAAAGAGCUCGUAGGUGGUUUGUCGCGUUGUUCGUGAAAACCGGGGGCUUAACCCUCGGCGUGCGGGCGAUACGGGCAGACUUGAGUACUGCAGGGGAGACUGGAAUUCCUGGUGUAGCGGUGGAAUGCGCAGAUAUCAGGAGGAACACCGGUGGCGAAGGCGGUUCUCUGGGCAUGUCCUGACGCUGAGGAGCGAAAGUGUGGGGAGCGAACAGG